UUCAUCUGCAUUAUGAACACUGGGAUGCAGAGAAGUGUUCUGAGUACAAGUCUGUAGUGUGCGAGAUGCCAGCUUUAAUACAGUAAAAUGGACAGAAGAUGGGACGAAGUCUAUGGACAUGACAUUUUGUUUUAUUUAGGUCGUUAUAGUGCAUACUGUUAACUGGUUAAUCAAUGAAUAAUGAUAUUGUUGAUAAGUGGGAUUUUGUUUACUUUUGUUGCUUAAACUGUUCAGUUAAUGAGAGAUAAUCUUGCUUGUCAAAGAGUGAUUGUUCCAUUCGAUGUUCAUAUGUAUUUUGUUCUUUAAUUCGUUAUUAUACAUUUUCUUUAUACUUUAAAUUGUUUAGUCAAUGAAUAAUGAUAUUAUGUUUACGACAAUGUUAGUGUAAAUAGAGGUAGUUAUUUAAAUUUGUUUUGUCAUCUUGUAUCACGUGGGUUAUAAUAAUAAAAUUGAUGGGACAACAAA
This is a long non-coding RNA of Ruditapes philippinarum (Manila clam), 465 nucleotides long. RefSeq lists it as uncharacterized. Lineage: Eukaryota; Metazoa; Mollusca; Bivalvia; Venerida; Veneridae. The transcript is spliced from 2 exons. The record is from RefSeq and is a predicted model, not a curated record.